Molecule: long non-coding RNA, 412 nt
Filed under: Homo sapiens (human)
Lineage: Eukaryota; Metazoa; Chordata; Mammalia; Primates; Hominidae
Description: non-protein coding GABRG3-AS1:5
Source: RNAcentral
ACUAGCUUUCAAGUAAGGUAACAUCUCAGACCAUCAUAGGUUUUGACAGGGGAAACUCUGAAGGACCACAGGAGUUGGAGGUUCCACGUAUCUCUAAGUAGUAACAUACGAUGGGUCCAAAACAGAAGAAAGAGAACUCAAGAUUCCCGAGCCACAGAGCUGUUGAUUGGAGGCUGACUCAGAGAAACCCUGGAUUCAGUGACAUACAGAGACAACAGGGACUUAAUCGCCUUCUGGACAAACAUAAUCUAUGCGACCUCCUCCCCAUAAGGUGCCAUAAGCAAAGUGAGCGGUUUGGAGAGAACACUGUACAUGACUUCCUGACUACAAUGGCCUGUGGCUGAUGAAGUACAGCACUUUGGUGGAAACAGGUGGGCAGUGUGUGUGGGUGAGGAAUAUGAUGGCUUUAAAG